RNAcentral lists this ribosomal RNA (473 nucleotides) under uncultured Sphingobacteriales bacterium. Its description in RNAcentral is "bacterial SSU rRNA". It matches the Rfam family "Bacterial small subunit ribosomal RNA", at positions 907 to 1382 of the family's 1533-position model. Lineage: Bacteria; Pseudomonadati; Bacteroidota; Sphingobacteriia; Sphingobacteriales. The record is from RNAcentral.
GAAUUGACGGGGCCCGCACAAGCGGAGGAACAUGUGGUUAAUUCGAUGAUUACGCGAGGAACCUUACCUGGGCUUAAAUGUAGAGUGCAUGAGGUAGAAAUACUUCUUUUCUUCGGAACUCUCUGCAAGGUGCUGCAUGGUUGUCGUCAGCUCGUGCCGUGAGGUGUCGGGUUAAGUCCCAUAACGAGCGCAACCCUUAUCGUUAGUUGCCAGCGGGUAAUGCCGGGGACUCUAGCGAAACUGCCGGUGUAAACCGAGAGGAAGGUGGGAUGACGUCAAAUCAGCACGGCCCUUAUGUCCAGGGCUACACACGUGUUACAAUGGCCGGUACAGAGGGCAGCUACCUGGAGACAGGAUGCGAAUCUCGAAAGCCGGUCUCAGUUCGGAUCGGAGUCUGCAACUCGACUCCGUGAAGCUGGAUUCGCUAGUAAUCGCGCAUCAGCCAUGGCGCGGUGAAUACGUUUCCGGGCCUU